Molecule: transfer RNA, 83 nt
Filed under: Tessaracoccus sp. MC1627
Lineage: Bacteria; Bacillati; Actinomycetota; Actinomycetes; Propionibacteriales; Propionibacteriaceae
Description: tRNA-OTHER
Source: RNAcentral
GGAUUGGGCUUUCGGCUGGCCAGACGGCCUUUCGUCCGUUGUCGGAGCCGCUUUGGGCAGGGGUUCGAGUCCCCUAUGCUCCA